UGGGGAAUAUUGCACAAUGGGCGCAAGCCUGAUGCAGCGACGCCGCGUGAGGGAUGGAGGCCUUCGGGUUGUAAACCUCUUUCGCCAGUGAAGCAGGCCAUCUUCUUUGUGGGGUGGUUGACGGUAGCUGGAUAAGAAGCGCCGGCUAACUACGUGCCAGCAGCCGCGGUAAUACGUAGGGCGCGAGCGUUGUCCGGAAUUAUUGGGCGUAAAGAGCUCGUAGGCGGCUGGUCGCGUCUGUCGUGGAAUCCCCUGGCUUAACUGGGGGCUUGCGGUGGGUACGGGCCGGCUUGAGUGCGGUAGGGGGGACUGGAAUUCCUGGUGUAGCGGUGGAAUGCGCAGAUAUCAGGAGGAACACCGGUGGCGAAGGCGGGUCUCUGGGCCGUUACUGACGCUGAGGAGCGAAAGCGUGGGGAGCGAACAGG
Molecule: ribosomal RNA, 425 nt
Filed under: bacterium
Lineage: Bacteria
Description: partial 16S ribosomal RNA
Rfam family: Bacterial small subunit ribosomal RNA
Source: RNAcentral